This 241-nucleotide long non-coding RNA is filed under the name Elaeis guineensis (African oil palm). RNAcentral's name for it is "long non-coding RNA (EGUI_LNC055172)". Lineage: Eukaryota; Viridiplantae; Streptophyta; Magnoliopsida; Arecales; Arecaceae. The record is from RNAcentral.
AGCAGCCACAGGCAUCUAUGUGGCUGAAAAGAGCAUCGUCAGAGUUCCAGAAUCCGACGAUCGGAUGGGCCACUUGGGCCAGUCGCCCUGUCUUCUCCGAAAAGGGGAAGCAAAGGAUGGAGAGCCCUCAGUCUGAUCAUGAUUUCACCCCCGGAGGAUCCCUACCUCCGUUCUAUCAGAAGACCCUCGAGACCCAUAGUCGAAAGGAUCUCCUGGAUCAAAGGUUCCAGGAGAUGAACCG